Molecule: ribosomal RNA, 1582 nt
Filed under: Jeotgalibacillus sp. S-D1
Lineage: Bacteria; Bacillati; Bacillota; Bacilli; Caryophanales; Caryophanaceae
Description: bacterial SSU rRNA
Rfam family: Bacterial small subunit ribosomal RNA
Source: RNAcentral
AUGAGCCAAGUUUAGAAGCUUCUUUAAAGAGCUUCAUAGCAAGAUUAAACUGAAGAGUUUGAUCAUGGCUCAGAUUGAACGCUGGCGGCAGGCUUAACACAUGCAAGUCGAGCGGUAACAGAAGAAGCUUGCUUCUUGCUGACGAGCGGCGGACGGGUGAGUAAUACUUAGGAAUCUGCCCAGUAGUGGGGGAUAGCACGGGGAAACUCGUAUUAAUACCGCAUACACCCUACGGGGAAAAGGGGGCGCUUGCGCUCUCGCUAUUGGAUGAGCCUAAGUCGGAUUAGCUAGUUGGUGGGGUAAAGGCCUACCAAGGCGACGAUCUGUAGCUGGUCUGAGAGGAUGAUCAGCCACACCGGGACUGAGACACGGCCCGGACUCCUACGGGAGGCAGCAGUGGGGAAUAUUGGACAAUGGGGGCAACCCUGAUCCAGCCAUGCCGCGUGUGUGAAGAAGGCCUUUUGGUUGUAAAGCACUUUAAGCAGUGAAGAAGACUCUAUGGUUAAUACCCAUAGACGAUGACAUUAGCUGCAGAAUAAGCACCGGCUAACUCUGUGCCAGCAGCCGCGGUAAUACAGAGGGUGCAAGCGUUAAUCGGAAUUACUGGGCGUAAAGCGAGCGUAGGUGGCUUAAUAAGUCAGAUGUGAAAUCCCCGGGCUUAACCUGGGAACUGCAUCUGAUACUGUUGGGCUAGAGUAGGUGAGAGGGAGGUAGAAUUUCAGGUGUAGCGGUGAAAUGCGUAGAGAUCUGAAGGAAUACCGAUGGCGAAGGCAGCCUCCUGGCAUCAUACUGACACUGAGGUUCGAAAGCGUGGGUAGCAAACAGGAUUAGAUACCCUGGUAGUCCACGCCGUAAACGAUGUCUACUAGUCGUUGGGGAACUUGAUUCCUUAGUGACGCAGCUAACGCAAUAAGUAGACCGCCUGGGGAGUACGGCCGCAAGGUUAAAACUCAAAUGAAUUGACGGGGGCCCGCACAAGCGGUGGAGCAUGUGGUUUAAUUCGAUGCAACGCGAAGAACCUUACCUGGUCUUGACAUAUCUAGAAUCCUGCAGAGAUGCGGGAGUGCCUUCGGGAAUUAGAAUACAGGUGCUGCAUGGCUGUCGUCAGCUCGUGUCGUGAGAUGUUGGGUUAAGUCCCGCAACGAGCGCAACCCUUUUCCUUAGUUACCAGCGGUUAGGCCGGGGACUCUAAGGAUACUGCCAGUGACAAACUGGAGGAAGGCGGGGACGACGUCAAGUCAUCAUGGCCCUUACGACCAGGGCUACACACGUGCUACAAUGGUAGGUACAGAGGGCUGCUACACAGCGAUGUGAUGCGAAUCUCAAAAAGCCUAUCGUAGUCCAGAUUGGAGUCUGCAACUCGACUCCAUGAAGUCGGAAUCGCUAGUAAUCGCGGAUCAGAAUGCCGCGGUGAAUACGUUCCCGGGCCUUGUACACACCGCCCGUCACACCAUGGGAGUUGAUUGCACCAGAAGUGGGUAGCCUAACUUUUAGAGGGCGCUCACCACGGUGUGGUCGAUGACUGGGGUGAAGUCGUAACAAGGUAGCCGUAGGGGAACCUGCGGCUGGAUCACCUCCUUAU